GGACAGUCUCCGUUUUUAACAUUUUGAUGGUAGCUUUUAUUUUGACAAUCACAUAGCGGAAAUGGUGAUUAUCUUUCUUCCUGCUUGAUGUGGGUUUGGGGAAAACUAAGCAACCACCGGAGAAUUGACCCGGAGCGCUCUUGUCUUCAGUCUUCCAGCAGAAUAAUGCCUGCUGUCCCGGUAUUUGGCUCUUCCAGGUGACCGAGGUGUGAGCAGCAGCCGCCGGGAUGGCGCUGGUCACCGUCCAACGGUCACCGACUCCAAGCACCUCCUCCAGCCCCUGCGUGUCUGAGUCUGGCAGUGGUGAGGAUGACCGUCGCUCACAGCCAAGGAGACGCACACCAACAGCUGCACCACAACAAUGGAAGUACAGCCUUGCAGCACUACAACACUGAAUCUCUGCUCUGCCACAUUGUGCUGACUCGGGACUGGCUUUGACCCUCAAGAACAUAAGAGUUUUUUUUUAUUGUUUUUGUUUUUAUUUUAAUGAUGAGAAACUACAAAACUAGCAAUUAGACCUUUUCUCUAAACUUGAGUAAUUGUAUAAAUAUUACGAAUAAAUAGGCCUAGUGCCUCA
This 577-nucleotide long non-coding RNA is filed under the name Gouania willdenowi (blunt-snouted clingfish). RNAcentral's name for it is "lncRNA (ENSGWIG00000016674.1)". Lineage: Eukaryota; Metazoa; Chordata; Actinopteri; Blenniiformes; Gobiesocidae. The record is from RNAcentral.